Molecule: ribosomal RNA, 496 nt
Filed under: uncultured bacterium
Lineage: Bacteria
Description: partial 16S ribosomal RNA
Rfam family: Bacterial small subunit ribosomal RNA
Source: RNAcentral
GAUGAACGCUGGCGGCGUGCCUAAUACAUGCAAGUCGAGCGAACAGACGAGGAGCUUGCUCCUCUGACGUUAGCGGCGGACGGGUGAGUAACACGUGGAUAACCUACCUAUAAGACUGGGAUAACUUCGGGAAACCGGAGCUAAUACCGGAUAAUAUAUUGAACCGCAUGGUUCAAUAGUGAAAGACGGUUUUGCUGUCACUUAUAGAUGGAUCCGCGCCGCAUUAGCUGUUGGUAAGGUAACGGCUUACCAAGGCAACGAUGCGUAGCCGACCUGAGAGGGUGAUCGGCCACACUGGAACUGAGACACGGUCCAGACUCCUACGGGAGGCAGCAGUAGGGAAUCUUCCGCAAUGGGCGAAAGCCUGACGGAGCAACGCCGCGUGAGUGGUGAAGGUCUUCGGAUCGUAAAACUCUGUUAUUAGGGAAGAACAAAUGUGUAAGUAACUAUGCACGUCUUGACGGUACCUAAUCAGAAAGCCACGGCUAACUACGUG